RNAcentral lists this ribosomal RNA (638 nucleotides) under Shewanella litorisediminis. Its description in RNAcentral is "bacterial SSU rRNA". It matches the Rfam family "Bacterial small subunit ribosomal RNA", at positions 66 to 693 of the family's 1533-position model. Lineage: Bacteria; Pseudomonadati; Pseudomonadota; Gammaproteobacteria; Alteromonadales; Shewanellaceae. The record is from RNAcentral.
GCGGCAGCACAAGGGAGUUUACUUCUGAGGUGGCGAGCGGCGGACGGGUGAGUAAUGCCUGGGAACUUGCCCAUUCGAGGGGGAUAACAGUUGGAAACGACUGCUAAUACCGCAUACGCCCUACGGGGGAAAGAGGGGGAUCUUCGGACCUCUCGCGAAUGGAUAGGCCCAGGUGGGAUUAGCUAGUAGGUGAGGUAAAGGCUCACCUAGGCGACGAUCCCUAGCUGUUCUGAGAGGAUGGACAGCCACACUGGAACUGAGACACGGUCCAGACUCCUACGGGAGGCAGCAGUGGGGAAUAUUGGACAAUGGGGGAAACCCUGAUCCAGCCAUGCCGCGUGUGUGAAGAAGGCCUUCGGGUUGUAAAGCACUUUCAGUGGGGAGGAAAGGCUGAUGGUUAAUACCUAUCAGCUGUGACGUUACCCACAGAAGAAGCACCGGCUAACUCCGUGCCAGCAGCCGCGGUAAUACGGAGGGUGCAAGCGUUAAUCGGAAUUACUGGGCGUAAAGCGUGCGCAGGCGGUCUGUUAAGCGAGAUGUGAAAGCCCCGGGCUCAACCUGGGAACUGCAUUUCGAACUGGCAGACUAGAGUCUUGUAGAGGGGGGUAGAAUUCCAGGUGUAGCGGUGAAAUGCGUAG